RNAcentral lists this ribosomal RNA (375 nucleotides) under Triticum aestivum (bread wheat). Its description in RNAcentral is "partial small subunit ribosomal RNA". Lineage: Eukaryota; Viridiplantae; Streptophyta; Magnoliopsida; Poales; Poaceae. The record is from RNAcentral.
AUGAUUGACCCACAUGAACCCAUUUCUGAUGCAGUUCUGGAUGCAUUAGUGGAUGACUACCAAGGGGAAUGUGCCACCAUCUCUGCAACAACCCUGUCGGGGGCCUCUCAUCCCAAAACUAUUCAACUCAGAGCUCUGAUAGGAAAUCAGGUGGUGCUGAUCUUACUAGAUUCUGGCAGCACUCACACUUUUGUUGAUCAGGCUCUGCUUGACAGGAUUUCUGUACCUGCUCAAAAACUACAAACACCUAUGCAAGUGAAAGUAGCAAAUGGGAAUGUGGUGGAGUGCAACAAAUUUGUGCCUAAUCUCACCUGGUGGAUACAAGGGCAUAGUUUCUCUAGUGCUAUGCAGGCCUUUCCUUUUAGGAGGGUAUGA